GUCACAGGGGUCAUCCAUCUUUCCUUCUAUGUGACUGGUUUGCUCUUGCAUAUCAUGUUUUCCGCUCUUAUGCUCCAGAUCCAUCAUGAGAAGAACAUGCCCUGGAUUCCUGCUAUCCCUUUAGCCAUGGCUCCAAAAUUAACACACACAAGGAAGACCUGAGGUCAAUCCACAGCCUGGAUUCAAGUCACCUAAUACAUAGGAGAAUCAGAGCUACCCAGCCACACUCAAUCUACGUUAACUGAACCUCAGCUGACCUGCAGAUUUAUGAGUAUGAGAAUAAAG
RNAcentral lists this long non-coding RNA (285 nucleotides) under Homo sapiens (human). RNAcentral describes it as "non-protein coding LINC01980:18". Lineage: Eukaryota; Metazoa; Chordata; Mammalia; Primates; Hominidae. The record is from RNAcentral.